This 77-nucleotide transfer RNA is filed under the name Vibrio vulnificus. RNAcentral's name for it is "tRNA-Arg". It matches the Rfam family "tRNA". Rfam says of the family: Transfer RNA (tRNA) molecules are approximately 80 nucleotides in length. Their secondary structure includes four short double-helical elements and three loops (D, anti-codon, and T loops). Further hydrogen bonds mediate the characteristic L-shaped molecular structure. tRNAs have two regions of fundamental functional importance: the anti-codon, which is responsible for specific mRNA codon recognition, and the 3' end, to which the tRNAs corresponding amino acid is attached (by aminoacyl-tRNA synthetases). tRNAs cope with the degeneracy of the genetic code in two manners: having more than one tRNA (with a specific anti-codon) for a particular amino acid; and 'wobble' base-pairing, i.e. permitting non-standard base-pairing at the 3rd anti-codon position. The record is from RNAcentral. Lineage: Bacteria; Pseudomonadati; Pseudomonadota; Gammaproteobacteria; Vibrionales; Vibrionaceae.
GCGCUCGUAGCUCAGCUGGAUAGAGUACCUGGCUACGAACCAGGCGGUCAGAGGUUUGAAUCCUCUCGAGCGCGCCA